UACCAGCUCUCCGAGUGGUAGGGAUGAUUAUUGGGCUUAAAGCGUCCGUAGCCGGCUUAGCAAGUUUCCUGUUAAAUUCAGCGACCUAAUCGUUGAGCCGCGGGAAAUACUACUAGGCUAGGAGGCGGGAGAGGUCGACGGUACUUCUGGGGUAGGGGUGAAAUCCUAUAAUCCCGGGAGGACCACCAGUGGCGAAGGCUGUCGACUAGAACGCGCUCGACGGUGAGGGACGAAAGCUGGGGGUAGCGAACCGGAUUAGAUACCCGGGUAGUCCCAGCUGUAAACGAUGCGGGCUAGGUGUUGGGAUGGCUACGGGCCAUUUCAGUGCCGCAGGGAAGCCAUUAAGCCCGCCGCCUGGGGAGUACGGCCGCAAGGCUGAACUUAAAGGAAUUGGCGGGGGAGCACCACAAGGCGUGAAGCUUGCGGUUC
RNAcentral lists this ribosomal RNA (429 nucleotides) under uncultured archaeon. RNAcentral's name for it is "bacterial SSU rRNA". It matches the Rfam family "Archaeal small subunit ribosomal RNA", at positions 474 to 903 of the family's 1478-position model. The record is from RNAcentral.